RNAcentral lists this ribosomal RNA (406 nucleotides) under uncultured bacterium. Its description in RNAcentral is "partial 16S ribosomal RNA". It matches the Rfam family "Bacterial small subunit ribosomal RNA", at positions 30 to 526 of the family's 1533-position model. The record is from RNAcentral.
AUUGAACGCUGGCGGCAGGCCUAACACAUGCAAGUCGAACGAGUGGCGGACGGGUGAGUAAUGUCUGGGAAACUGCCUGAUGGAGGGGGAUAACUACUGGAAACGGUAGCUAAUACCGCAUACCAUCGGAUGUGCCCAGAUGGGAUUAGCUAGUAGGUGGUGUAAAGGCUCACCUAGGCGACGAUCCCUCGCUGGUCUGAGAGGAUGACCAGCCACACUGGAACUGAGAAAGCGUCCAGACUCCUAAGUGAGGCAGCAGUGGGGAAUAGUGGACAAUUGGCGCAAGCCUGAUGCAGCCAUGCCGCGUGUAUGAAGAAGGCCUUAGGGUUGUAAAGUACUUUCAGCGGGGAGGCGUUACCCGCAGAAGAAGCACCGGCUAACUCCGUGCCAGCAGCCGCGGUAAUAC